GAGAGAGAGAGAGAGAGAGAGAGAGAGAGAGAGAGAGAGACAGAGACAGAGAGAAAGAGAGAGAGAGAGGGCAAGAGCGAGAGACAGAGAGAGAGAGAGAGAGAGAGAGAGAGAGAGAGAGAGAGAGAGAGAGAGAGAGAGAAAGAGAAAGAAAACGAGCGAGGGAGAGAGCGAGAGCGAGAGAGAGAGAGAGAGAGCGUCACACACACAUCUCUGCCGGAAGUGAUGUCACGGCAUGGGCGCCCGCCCACCGGAGGAGCGACUGGAGUUGAUCGGCUGGGCGCUCAGAACCUGGACAACUACCCUCAAUUGGUAACAUAUUUUGGUGAGCCAGCCAGAAGGAUCAAGUCUGUGAUACCUGAAGCCUCAGACCUGGAACCUGAAGUUUCCUUCAGCCACUACACCUGUGAACCUGUGGAAGACCUGAAGUGCCUGUUUAGAAGACAGCCAAAAGAUAAGUAAAUGCCUACCAACUUUCCUUGGUGUUUUUGUUGCAUAGUUAUUGUAGGUUGGAUAAUAAUAGCCAUAUUUUUAUAUAUUUGGCUGGAUAAUAAUAGCCAUAUUUUUAUAUAUUUUUGCAGUUUUUCUUUUUUCAAAUGUUUGGAAUCACUCCCUUUGUAGCAAUUAAGCAGAAUGUUUUAAUUUCUCCCUAUAACAAACAUUCCUGAUAGCAUAGGUAUCCACCCCCUGAAGUUCCCAUUAGAUCUUUUAACCAAAUUCAUUUCCUCUCACCUAGAGACCAUUGAGCUUCAUAUGAUCAUGCAACAACAUUGCCAGCCAGUUCCAAAUGAAGAUAGCACCCCCAGCGAUCAAUAAACUACCCUGCCUCCACUGGAUAGAGCAGGGAAAAAUUUCCAUGAUCAGCAAUAGGCUGGAGUGCAAUGGUGUGAUUUCAGCUUACUGAAACCUCCACCUCCUAGGUUCAAGAGAUUCUCCUGCCUCAGCUUCCCGAGUAGCUGGAAUUACAGCUUCAGAUCCAAAUGGUAUGCUAGCAUUCUCUUCCUAGCAGUCCACUGUCAAGACUUCACUGUUAGAAGAAGAAUCACACCAGAAUUAAGGUCAAAUGGAUUAUCUUAUUCUUAAUUGCUGAAAAUCACACCUCAUUGAAAUUUGCUUCAUAACUGAACCAUGAAUUUUUCAUCAAACAUACUUUUGUGUUUCUCCUCCUGGCAUUCUUUAUGAGGAACUUCUUUUUGGAGCUCACUGACUUCCUGUUCUAAUUUGGUCCAGUUAUUUUCUAGAAUUGCUACAUGACUGUCAUCCUGGGACAUCCUUCUGUUGGAAUCUGGGAGAGCUUACAACUUUUCAUAUCCUCUCUUCUUCUUUGUGUUUUUCACCCUGAAGUGUACAAAGUCAAAUGAAUUUCCUAGAAAAACUAGUGAGUUAAUAUUUUGAGUCCUUGUGAUAUGGGAGGGGGGCAGGGAAGUGCUGGGUAGAGAAGGGUGGGGUCCCUGGUGAGGGCUCCACUCUCAGGCCUGUGCUCAUGGACCUAAAUGAGGACAGGCAUUUCUGUUUUCAUGCCCCAAAUGUUGCCUUUUGGCCCACCAUGCGCCCCAUCCUGUACCCAUAAAAACCCAAGACUUGAGAAGGCACAGACACAAGUGGCGGGACGUCAAGAGAGCUGAAGAACACAGCAACAGACACCAGCAGACAACAUCAGGCCAUCGAUGGCUGCAUGAUGUGGAAUUUGGCUGGGGGCAGUUGGAGGAGAGUCUGGCUAUUGGGCGACCUGACUCCAGGGGAAGACUACCUUCCCACUCCAUCCCCCUUGGGGCUCCUCAUGCAUCUCACGAGAGCUACCUCCACCACUCAAUAAAACCUUGCACGCAUCCUCCAAGCCCACGUGUGAUCCGACUUCUUGGGUACACUAGGGCAAGAACCCGGGAUACAGAAAGCCCUCUGUCCGUGUGAUAAGGCACAGGGUCUAGUGGAGCUGAUUAACACAAGCCACCUGCAGAAGGCAAAGCUGAAAGAGCACACCACAACACAUGCCCACUGGGGCUUCGGGAGCUGCAAACACUCAACCCUAGACACUGUCGUGGGGUCAGAGCCCCAAAACACUCCCCACGACCUGCUCAUCUGCAUGCUCCCCUCAGGAGUUUGAGCAGCAGGUCACCGAAGAAGCGAGCCACACCCGUUGCAUGCCGUGUGAGGGGGAUAAGGGAACUUCUCCCAUUUCAUCUGAAUAUCUGAAAGUAUCUGUAGUUGGGACUCACGUUUUAUUUAUAAUUUGUCUCGAUAUAGAAGUAAAGGUAUAAUUUCCUAUAGAAAUUUGAAACAUUGUUCCCUUGUCACAUCUUGCUGAUAAAAAACCUUAUGUCAGAUGAUUUUUGGUCUGAUAAUAUAGAAAUUUUGAUUAACUUACUAAAUAAUUAUAUUUCAAUAUGAUUCAUUUGGUAAUAAUUUUAUUUUAUUUUUAUUCUGUCAUGUCUAUUUAAGUUGUAUAAUACUUUCAGAUAUAGAAUUUGACAAAGUUCC
Molecule: long non-coding RNA, 2478 nt
Filed under: Homo sapiens (human)
Lineage: Eukaryota; Metazoa; Chordata; Mammalia; Primates; Hominidae
Description: HSALNT0348063
Source: RNAcentral